Molecule: non-coding RNA, 20 nt
Filed under: Arabidopsis thaliana (thale cress)
Lineage: Eukaryota; Viridiplantae; Streptophyta; Magnoliopsida; Brassicales; Brassicaceae
Source: RNAcentral
ACCCUGAGGGAGUCAACGGU